CGGCUUAGAGUUUGAUCCUGGCUCAGAUUGAACGCUGGCGGCAUGCCUAACACAUGCAAGUCGAACGGCAGCACGUUUUAGUUUACUAAGAUGGUGGCGAGUGGCGCACGGGUGAGUAAGGCGUAGGAAUAUACCUUGAAGAGCGGGACAACUUGGGGAAACUCAGGCUAAUACCGCAUGAGCUCUACGGAGGAAAGCUGGGGACCGCAAGGCCUGGCGCUUUAAGAAUAGCUUACGUCCGAUUAGCUAGUUGGUGGGGUAAAGGCUUACCAAGGCGAUGAUCGGUAGCUGGUCUGAGAGGAUGGUCAGCCACACUGGGACUGAGACACGGCCCAGACUCCUACGGGAGGCAGCAGUGGGGAAUAUUGGACAAUGGGGGCAACCCUGAUCCAGCGAUGCCGCGUGUGUGAAGAAGGCCUG
RNAcentral lists this ribosomal RNA (420 nucleotides) under uncultured bacterium. Its description in RNAcentral is "SSU rRNA". It matches the Rfam family "Bacterial small subunit ribosomal RNA", at positions 1 to 418 of the family's 1533-position model. The record is from RNAcentral.